CAUCCUGUGAUGCUGCAUGCUGUGUAGUCAAAGGGAAAUGUCUCCUGACUAGCAGAGAGGUCUCUGAGUCCAUGAUGUCUGUGACAGAAACUGUCUUUGGAGAGAUCAGAGAGAAAGAGAAAGAGAAAGGAUUUGAGAGAAAUGGGCUAAUUAAAAUGCUCAGAAAAUCUCAACUUGUAGAUCUGGAAGAAAAGUAUAUGGAUAACUUCUUGUUUCCCUGCCAUUUGCCCCCUAAAAGUGAGGAAGCAUCGUUAACAUAUGUAAGAGAUGGGACUCUUCCUGUACAGAAGGAAAAAGUUGGAAAGCCCUCUUU
This 313-nucleotide long non-coding RNA is filed under the name Monodelphis domestica (gray short-tailed opossum). Its description in RNAcentral is "lncRNA (ENSMODG00000042206.1)". Lineage: Eukaryota; Metazoa; Chordata; Mammalia; Didelphimorphia; Didelphidae. The record is from RNAcentral.